UACGUAGGGGGCAAGCGUUAUCCGGAUUUACUGGGUGUAAAGGGAGCGUAGACGGCAGCGCAAGUCUGGAGCGAAAUGCCGGGGCCCAACCCCGGAACUGCUUUGGAAACUGUGCAGCUCGAGUGCAGGAGAGGUAAGCGGAAUUCCUAGUGUAGCGGUGAAAUGCGUAGAUAUUAGGAGGAACACCAGUGGCGAAGGCGGCUUACUGGACUGUAACUGACGUUGAGGCUCGAAAGCGUGGGGAGCAAACAGG
This 253-nucleotide ribosomal RNA is filed under the name uncultured bacterium. Its description in RNAcentral is "partial 16S ribosomal RNA". It matches the Rfam family "Bacterial small subunit ribosomal RNA", at positions 524 to 776 of the family's 1533-position model. The record is from RNAcentral.